UCUCCGCCAGAGAACUACAAGUGAAAAACUUGAAACUCAAAGGACUUGACGGUGUCCCAUAUCGACCUAGAGGAGCCUGUCCUAUAAUCGAUACUCCACGUUUCACCCAACCUUAACUAGCAAAAUAUCAGCCUAUAUACCGCCGUCGACAGCCUACCCUAUGAAGGUCUAACAGUAGACUCAAUAGCAUCACCGCUAGUACGUCAGGUCAAGGUGUAGCAAAUGUUAAGGUAGAGAUUGGCUACAUUUUUUAUAAUAAAAAACACGAAAAGUAUUAUGAAACUGUACAUGAAGGUGAAUUUAGUAGUAAAACAGAUAAGAGUGUCUAUUUUAACAACGCUCUGGGACGCGUACACACCGCCC
Molecule: ribosomal RNA, 363 nt
Filed under: Lacerta agilis (Sand lizard)
Lineage: Eukaryota; Metazoa; Chordata; Lepidosauria; Squamata; Lacertidae
Description: partial 12S ribosomal RNA
Rfam family: Bacterial small subunit ribosomal RNA
Source: RNAcentral